RNAcentral lists this ribosomal RNA (91 nucleotides) under Hypomontagnella monticulosa. Its description in RNAcentral is "partial 28S ribosomal RNA". The record is from RNAcentral. Lineage: Eukaryota; Fungi; Ascomycota; Sordariomycetes; Xylariales; Hypoxylaceae.
GGCGGAGUUAUAGCACACUCUAAGCGUAGUAAUUCUCUCUCGCUUCUUGUAGUGGUUAUAGUUGCUAGCCAUAAAACACCCCCUAUUUUAA